GAUGAACGCUGGCGGCGUGCCUAAUACAUGCAAGUCGAGCGAACAGACGAGGAGCUUGCUCCUCUGACGUUAGCGGCGGACGGGUGAGUAACACGUGGAUAACCUACCUAUAAGACUGGGAUAACUUCGGGAAACCGGAGCUAAUACCGGAUAAUAUAUUGAACCGCAUGGUUCAAUAGUGAAAUACGGUUUUGCUGUCACUUAUAGAUGGAUCCGCGCCGCAUUAGCUAGUUGGUAAGGUAACGGCUUACCAAGGCAACGAUGCGUAGCCGACCUGAGAGGGUGAUCGGCCACACUGGAUCUGAGGAACGGUCCAGACUCCUCCGGGAGGCAGCGGUAGGGAAUCUUCCGCAAUGGGCGAAAGCCUGACGGAGCAACGCCGCGUGAGUGAUGAAGGUCUUCGGAUCGUAAAACUCUGUUAUUAGGGAAGAACAAAUGUGUAAGUAACUAUGAACGUCUUGACGGUACCUAAUCAGAAAGCCACGGCUAACUACGUG
Molecule: ribosomal RNA, 497 nt
Filed under: uncultured bacterium
Lineage: Bacteria
Description: partial 16S ribosomal RNA
Rfam family: Bacterial small subunit ribosomal RNA
Source: RNAcentral